AUUGGUGAUGUUGUUGAGACUGAUAUCAUGCAUGACAUUCUUCCAUAUUACUCUUAUGUUGUCUUGAUGGUGAGCUGAGUGAUUGAGAGACUCCGAGGUCUUUGCCGGAGAUUGAGAAUGAUUGAGAGACUCCGAGGUCUUCGCCGGAGAUUGAGAGUGAUUGAGAUACUCUGAGGUCUUUUCCAGAGAUUGAGAGUAAUUGAUAGCCUCCGAGGUUUCUACCGGAGAGCACGAGUGGUACAUGGACUUCGCGGGUCCCCCAUGGGUCAUGACUAUGAGGCAUUGCCAUAGCAUGUGUGUACGAGAAUGGAGCGUGAGAGCACGACAUUGCAUUGCAUAGCACUCCAUUUGAAUUGCUAUUCAUGUCAUUGCAUGGCACAUUCUCUGAUUGAUUCUUGAUUUGUGAAUUAUUGAGUUGUUGUUUGUAAGUAUUUAUUUUAGAGGCUUGAUGGACUCGAGGUUUGGAGAUUUUCCCCUAGGCUUAUAACCUGAGAUAUUGAAAUCCCUUGUGACUAUCGUUACUGCAAGACUUCCAUAUGUGCUAGAGUUGUGACUGUGUUUGAUUACUUAUCUGCUUACUUGUUAGUUGCUUCUUGUUUAUAUGCGUGAACUAACCAUUGUCGGCCUAUGAUACCUACGAGCCUUGUGUUGUGCUCAUACUACUCUUGCUACACUCCUUGUGGAGUGUAGAGUUAUUUUCAGGUGAUGCUCGGAGUCUCACAACCUUUUCGAGGCAUUCGUCAAAGGUGUUUGGGUGAGCUAUUUGAGAUCUUGCAACCCAGAGUCUCUCCUUAGAUUUCUGUUGUUCUCUAUCCUUAAACAGAAGUCGUAUCCAGUUUGAGUCUGUUAUCUACUUCAAAUUGUAAACUUCUUAGAAGCUCUUGUACGAGUCUAGACCAGGUUUUGGGAAUUUCUUAUAAUAAAAGUAUUUCUUCCG
Molecule: long non-coding RNA, 937 nt
Organism: Lycium ferocissimum
Lineage: Eukaryota; Viridiplantae; Streptophyta; Magnoliopsida; Solanales; Solanaceae
Exons: 2
Source: RefSeq, a predicted model, not a curated record